UCACCCUCACCCUUCCUCCUUCC
RNAcentral lists this microRNA (23 nucleotides) under Mus musculus (house mouse). RNAcentral describes it as "mmu-miR-7047-3p". The record is from miRBase by way of RNAcentral. Lineage: Eukaryota; Metazoa; Chordata; Mammalia; Rodentia; Muridae.